GGCGCAGCGCGGGUGACAGUCACACGCACCCUGCCCUGAUCCCGCCGAGCGGACAGCCCGGCGCCCCGACCCGCCGCCUGGGGAGCCAGGGGGUGUCCGUGUACGGUCCGCACGGGAUUGCAGCCUCUGUUUAAGUAUUGGGAAGGCUCAGGAUCAUCUUCAACAAGACGGACGUUGAAUGUUUAGCAUCGCCUCUUUGGAUUUUUGCAUGUGAAUUGGAACCGCUUUAUUUCUAGCUGCAGUUCUUCCUACACUCAGAGGUCAGCAAAGAGCAAGAUCAACAAGCCACACAUCUGGCUCUCUCUCUUUCCAACUGGAACAAAGAAACAAUUUUUUAAUGGCUUUUUGAGUUAAUUGUAAACAAUUUGGUUUUA
Molecule: long non-coding RNA, 374 nt
Filed under: Junco hyemalis (dark-eyed junco)
Lineage: Eukaryota; Metazoa; Chordata; Aves; Passeriformes; Passerellidae
Description: lncRNA (ENSJHYG00000005686.1)
Source: RNAcentral